RNAcentral lists this long non-coding RNA (4072 nucleotides) under Arabidopsis lyrata. RNAcentral's name for it is "long non-coding RNA (ALYR_LNC001137)". The record is from RNAcentral. Lineage: Eukaryota; Viridiplantae; Streptophyta; Magnoliopsida; Brassicales; Brassicaceae.
CUUCAAGGCUCUCUUCUCUCAAGUCACGUCUCGUUUCUAAAUCCUUAUCUUUGCUGCGAAUAAGAACAUUUGGGAUGUAAUUUAUCAAACCUUCUAAAAUAAAAUCUCUGGGGUCAAUUUGAAAGGAGCCCAUAAUAAUAAGUAUGUUUAUUAUCAUUUCGAGAGAAAUUGGUUGGGUUUGAAUAUUUUGAAUUUAAAAUAUGGGGCAAAUGACAAUUUUCUCGUUUCUAUCACCCGCUUCAUCUGCCUUUCUAUCGGCACAAAAAAAAAAAAAACAGAGUAAUAUGUUAAACCAAUCACCCCCUUAGGCCAUCUCCAAAGGGAGAUCUAAGUGGUUGUUCAAAAGCAAAAGUGUCUACAAAAUAAAUCAAAAAUGAAAAAAGAUCUUGGACCCGUAUCCAAAAUUAGAUUUUUAAAACUUAUUUAGACACGCAUACGUGUCGUUUUCUCCUCUUUUUCUCGUUCUUUCUUCUUCUUCUCCGAUACAACCCAGAAUCACUCUGUAACUCACUUGUCGUUGCUCUUGUCGUAACCCUAGCUACCAAUAAAAUCCGUCGCGACGUCCAUAUCUCCCCUCCUUCUCCUCCUCCCACCACAUGUUAUCCCUUCCGCCUAUCUCACCUAUCCAUCUUCCCCCAACCUCGAUCCCCUUCUCAAAUACAGAAAUUUCAGAUCUACCAUAUCAUUCGACCUCUCUCAAUUCUGCUUCUCUUUUAAAUAUUAGGAUUUGGGAAGACGAAGAGUAAGUGUCUAUCCAUUUUGAUUUUUGUCUGAACCCAUUUCUGGGUUUUGCUUUACAUAGCAUGGAUGGAAUCUCAGAUUUGUUAGUGUUUCUAGUAAAUUGUGUAUAUGGGUUGUCUCGAAUCUGACAAUCUUAAAGCGAUUCAAAGAGUGAUGAAACCUAAAUUUACUAAUUGAUAUGGAAUUUGGUGUGUAGGGUUUGGUUUCACGAUUUGAUUUGCUUUGAGCUGAACACGUUUCUUCGUAAUUCAACAUUUCUUUUCGUUGUUUGAACUCAUCUAGUGUUAGCAUUAGACGGGCAAGCAAAUCUUCGGGUUUAAUUUCACUAGUUAAGUUGUGUUCGUUCUUUUGUCUUAGAUUCAGGUGUGAUGGACAGAAAUUAGAGGCUAGUCACCUAUGAAGAGCUAAUGGACAUAACUAAAAAAUUUAAGCAAUAGUCGAGUUCUCUGAAUUGUUUGUGUUCAUUUAGACGUUGAUUUUAAGUCUUUUUUGUUUGUUCCUAUGUUGAAUUGGGCUUGGUAAUUGCAGGGAACAUGUUUUGUUGAUAGUAAGGAAGAUAUGUGGUUGCAGGAGCAAAUGAUUUGAAAGGUGAAGAUGGGAAUACAAAUGUGGUGAUUAUAUUUCUUCUAGCCUAGGGAGUUAAAAAGUGACGUGAGGACAAGCUGAUGAUAUGGCUUCCAAUCUUUCUACCGUCUUCUCUAACUUGGAGCUACUUUGCUUCCUGUAACCAAGGUAGUACCAAAAGCAUUAUCUUCAAGAUUGUGUGUUAUACUUUCACUAGUUUUUGAGAUCUAUCGAAGUUUAGCAUUUCUUUAUCCAACGUUUGAGAUUUCUGUGCUUUGAUUACUUUUGUAGGUUUUAAGACAUUUGUUGUAUCUAAUGAGGAUUCAGAGAAGCCUAUCUAUUGACGGGUUUCUCUUGCUCAUCUCUGUUCGUUAGAGGAUCAGAGAACCAUAUUCAUAGAUGACAAAGGCACGUGAUUGGAAAGCCAUAGAAAACUUAUUAAUCUCAUUUGCCCAAUGUGAAGAUUCACUGAGUUUGUGUGUCAAGGUUUUUGAGUGUGUAAGUUUUGAGAGUGUGGAGUGUGUGUCAAGUUUUGAGAGUCAAAUGUAUCCCAAACACUUGUACCAAUUUUUUCAAAAAUUUAAAUUUUUAUAUCCUCAAAUGUAAUUUCACCAUUGGACUGUGUCUAAAUUGAAAAAUACUUUGAGUGUCUAAACUUUUGCUUUUGCAUUAAAACAAUUAGAAAUAUGGUUUUAGACCCAUGAGGGAGUCUAAACCAUUGGAGAUGCUCUUAGUGUUUCAUUAAGAUCUUAAACCAGUAAAGUUUUAAAAAAAUUUGUACUAAUAUGUUAGGUUAUUUGGCCAGAUUUUGGAAAAAGCCACAAAUUUUUUUGCUAAAUUUCAUAGUAAGUCAGAUCUAGACACAAAUAAACAUCCAUUACCACUUGCACCGAAAAAGUAAAAAACAAUCUGAAACAAUUUUUGCAAAUGUCAAAAGAGGGUUUAUAAAUUUAGUGGCAAUAUAGUUUGAUAUUUGAGUCAGCCCCUGCAGUGAAUAGCCAUGGUUGUCUCGGAUGAAACUUGCAGUCCAAGACUCAUGCAAUCAAAACCCAUAAUAUAUAUAUAUUAAUCUCCUGAAAAAUCAAAAUAUAUGACGAUGACGCAUAAUAGUGUGAUUUAAUACUUUGUAUAAAAGUUUAUGCCGGUUUCUAAUACUUUGACUUAAGAAUCUUUCUGAACUGACUAAUUCCUUGAAAACUGCUGCAGGUAGAUAACAUGGCAGGGCAAGGAUCAACGUCUCAAGCUCUGUAAGUUUCACAAUCUAUGAAUGCAUGAUGAGAAUCUCUUUUUGAUGAAUGAGUGAUUCAAUAGAUAUAAAAGAAGAACCUUUGUUCUGUUUUUUCGUUGUUGGGGUUAUGCUAAUAUGCUAACUAUGAAGCAUGAAUGAAGGAGCUGCUAAUAUACCACAACUACAAGCCAACACUCUGUGCCAUCAAGAAAUAGAUGAAGGAUUCAAGAGAGGAUCGAUCUGCUAUGUGGGCAAUUUCCGGUUCGAUUUAACCGAAGUUGGUUUGAGAGACCUUUUCUCACCAUUCAGAGAGGUUAUUUCUUGUAAAGUCAAGAGAUUUCAAGACUCUAGGUUGAGUGGAGGGGACGGCUUUGUAGAGUUCGUCACUCCACAAGAGGCAUUGAACAUAUACUAAUGCAUGGAACAUAUGUAUGAGGGCACAUAUACUAAUGCUACAAUGUCUCUAUACAAGGAAUUCUUUAUUCUAUGACAAAAAAAUAUGUACCAGAGAUGCACCGACAUUCAGACUUGUGUGCGAGAUGAAAUCAAUGAAGAGAAAUGCUCUACAAGCAGAAGGUAUAAAGCUUAUUUGUCAUUUAACUUUGCUCAACAAAACUAACAAACUAGUACUAAAUAUUUGGAUUUUACAAAUUAAUUGAUUUAUCUAAUUAAGAUAGAGGGUAAAAAACAUAUAUAUAUUUCAAAUUUCACUAAGUAAGAAGUAGGUCAAAAACUAAUGAAGUAAAAUAAAAGUAAAUGGAUCAUAUUCCUAAAUGGCUUAUCUUGUAUUAGUUUAUUAGUGAUGUUUAUGAAAAAAGGGUAUAAAUGGUUGCUAAAAUGAAUGAAUGUAAAAACUUCUAGUUACAUUGUGUCCUGGUCACUGAUUAAGCUUUUUAUCAUGUGGAUCAAGGAGUGUUAUUCUCUAUCUUCUUGAGCAUGUUCUUACUUGUUUAUCGUUGUUCUUGUUUUCCCCAAAAUUUGUUUGUUGAUGAACUUAGAGCUGGAGGACUUCUAGAUAAGGAAGGCGGUGUACGAGAGCUGAUAGUUGGUAAAAACGAUGAGCUACUUCAGACAGACACAAAAACCGUCCCCAGGGCUAAUGUUGCGGAAGUCUGCAUUCAGGUCUACUCACCUGCUUUUAUUUUCUUAAUCAAAUCUUCAUAUCCUCUCCUUGGUUUAUUUUCCGAUUUUGAUCUUUCUUCUUUACAAGUACAAGCAUUGCUGUUCGAGGAAGCCAAGAACAAAGCUUUCGAUCUCGGCUCAAAGCCAGAGGGAACCAGUUCUCCGACUAAAGACUUCAAGGCUCUCUUCUCUCAAGUCACGUCUCGUUUAUAAAUCCUUAUCUUUCCUACGAAUAAGAACAUUUGGGAUGUAAUUUAUCAAACCUUCUAAAAUAAAAUCUCCGGGGUCAAAUUGAAAGGAGCCCAUAAUAAUAAGUACGUUUAUUAUCAUUUCGAGAAAAAUUGGUUGGGUUUGAAUAUUUUGAAUUUAAAAUAUGGGGAAUAUUUGGUGAUUUAUUAAAAAUACGGGGCAAAACUG